AUGAGAGAUUUUCGAAAUUGUUUGGGAGAUUGUGGACUGGCAGAUAUGGGAUGUAUGGGUGACUUAUUUACAUGGAGGAGGGGCGAAAUCAGGGAAAGACUAGAUCGAGCGGUCUGUAAUGUGGAUUGGGCGAAUAAAUUCCCUCGAGCGGCGGUUAUAAACGAAGAACAUGUACACUCAGACCAUCGCCCUAUUAUU
This 198-nucleotide ribosomal RNA is filed under the name Triticum aestivum (bread wheat). Its description in RNAcentral is "partial small subunit ribosomal RNA". The record is from RNAcentral. Lineage: Eukaryota; Viridiplantae; Streptophyta; Magnoliopsida; Poales; Poaceae.